UUUCCGUAGGUGAACCUGCGGAAGGAUCAUUAUCGAGUUAGGGUCUCUGGCCCGACCUCCAACCCUGUGUCUACUAUACCAUGUUGCUUUGGCGGGCCCGCGUUCGUCACCGCCGAGGGGUUGACCCCCCUGGGCCAGUGCCCGCCGAUAGCCCCCUCUUAAACUCUUGAUCAACCGUGAAUGUCUGAGUAAAAAAAAAUCAAGCACAAAACUUUCAACAACGGAUCUCUUGGUUCUG
Molecule: unclassified non-coding RNA, 238 nt
Filed under: plant metagenome
Description: partial contains small subunit ribosomal RNA, internal transcribed spacer 1, and 5.8S ribosomal RNA
Source: RNAcentral